ACUAAUUUGGCAGAUAAUUGCAUCAGAUUUAGAAUCUUAUUAUGUAUAAUAUUAUACAGUUAGUA
This 65-nucleotide transfer RNA is filed under the name Pedetontus zhejiangensis. Its description in RNAcentral is "tRNA-Leu". The record is from RNAcentral. Lineage: Eukaryota; Metazoa; Arthropoda; Insecta; Archaeognatha; Machilidae.